This 537-nucleotide ribosomal RNA is filed under the name uncultured bacterium. RNAcentral's name for it is "partial 16S ribosomal RNA". It matches the Rfam family "Bacterial small subunit ribosomal RNA", at positions 355 to 901 of the family's 1533-position model. The record is from RNAcentral.
UGGGGAAUAUUGCACAAUGGGCGCAAGCCUGAUGCAGCAACGCCGCGUGAGGGACGACGGCCUUCGGGUUGUAAACCUCUUUUAGUAGGGAAGAAGCGAAAGUGACGGUACCUGCAGAAAAAGCACCGGCUAACUACGUGCCAGCAGCCGCGGUAAUACGUAGGGUGCGAGCGUUGUCCAGAAUUAUUGGGCGUAAAGAGCUCGUAGGCGGUCUGUCGCGUCUGCUGUGAAAACCCGAGGCUCAACCUCGGGCCUGCAGUGGGUACGGGCAGACUAGAGUGCGGUAGGGGAGAAUGGAAUUCCUGGUGUAGCGGUGGAAUGCGCAGAUAUCAGGAGGAACACCGAUGGCGAAGGCAGUUCUCUGGGCCGUAACUGACGCUGAGGAGCGAAAGCGUGGGGAGCGAACAGGAUUAGAUACCCUGGUAGUCCACGCCGUAAACGUUGGGCGCUAGAUGUGGGGGACCAUUCCACGGUUUCCGUGUCGCAGCUAACGCAUUAAGCGCCCCGCCUGGGGAGUACGGCCGCAAGGCUAAAACU